GAGCUUCGCGGCGGUUGUUCCUCCCGACGACCGCAGCGAACGGGCCGCACGGUUCCUCCCACCGUCGCAGGCCAUCCCAAGACGCCCUUGCCGGUCCUCCCCCGGCAAGGGCGUUUUUC
Molecule: small RNA, 119 nt
Filed under: Aureimonas pseudogalii
Lineage: Bacteria; Pseudomonadati; Pseudomonadota; Alphaproteobacteria; Hyphomicrobiales; Aurantimonadaceae
Description: ar14
Rfam family: Alphaproteobacterial ar14
About the family: Smr14C2 was renamed NfeR1 (Nodule Formation Efficiency RNA) highly expressed in salt stress and during the symbiotic interaction on legume roots.
Source: RNAcentral